CAGUCGCCGCGGGAAUACGGAGGGGGCUAGCGUUGUUCGGAAUUACUGGGCGUAAAGCGCACGUAGGCGGCUUGGUAAGUUAGAGGUGAAAGCCUGGAGCUCAACUCCAGAAUUGCCUUUAAGACUGCCGAGCUAGCAGGUGAGAGAGGUAAGUGGAGUUCCGAGUGUAGAGGUGAAAUUCGUAGAUAUUCGGAAGAACACCAGUGGCGAAGGCGGCUUACUGGCUCAUACUGGACGCUGAGGUGCGAAAGCGUGGGGAGCAAACAGGAUUAGAGACCCCUGUAGUCCCUGUCUCUUAUAC
Molecule: ribosomal RNA, 301 nt
Filed under: uncultured bacterium
Lineage: Bacteria
Description: partial 16S ribosomal RNA
Rfam family: Bacterial small subunit ribosomal RNA
Source: RNAcentral